AAUAAGUUGAUUCGUGGGUUUCUGUGUACAGUCUUUGACCGUUCGUCUUGUAUGAAAUUUUUUAUGAUUAGUAUUUUUAUUUUUGUCAGAUGAUAAAACAUGAAUAAUACUUUAUGUAUGACUUAUCUUUUUAAAUUUUUUUAUAUUUUUUUCAAAUAAAACGGAUGGUUAAAGGUUGUACACGGAAAUCCACGAAUCAACCUAUU
Molecule: microRNA precursor, 206 nt
Organism: Oryza rufipogon (brownbeard rice)
Lineage: Eukaryota; Viridiplantae; Streptophyta; Magnoliopsida; Poales; Poaceae
Rfam family: MIR812 microRNA precursor family
Source: Rfam